This 331-nucleotide ribosomal RNA is filed under the name uncultured bacterium. Its description in RNAcentral is "bacterial SSU rRNA". It matches the Rfam family "Bacterial small subunit ribosomal RNA", at positions 568 to 898 of the family's 1533-position model. The record is from RNAcentral.
CGCGUAGGCGGCUUGGUAAGUCGGAUGUGAAAGCCCCGGGCUUAACCUGGGAACUGCAUUCGAGACUGCCUGGCUAGAGUAUGAUAGAGGGAAGCGGAAUUCCACAUGUAGCGGUGAAAUGCGUAGAUAUGUGGAGGAACAUCAGUGGCGAAGGCGGCUUCCUGGAUCAAUACUGACGCUGAGGCGCGAAAGCGUGGGGAGCAAACAGGAUUAGAUACCCUGGUAGUCCACGCUGUAAACGAUGAGAACUAGAUGUUGGGAGGUUUAACCUCUUAGUGUCGAAGCUAACGCGAUAAGUUCUCCGCCUGGGGAGUACGGCCGCAAGGUUAAA